CUAAGUUUGAUGGCGACCGGCGCACGGGUGAGUAACACGUAUCCAACCUGCCGAUGACUCGGGGAUAGCCUUUCGAAAGAAAGAUUAAUACCCGAUGGCAUAGUUCUUCCGCAUGGUGGAACUAUUAAAGAAUUUCGGUCAUCGAUGGGGAUGCGUUCCAUUAGGUUGUUGGCGGGGUAACGGCCCACCAAGCCUCCGAUGGAUAGGGGUUCUGAGAGGAAGGUCCCCCACAUUGGAACUGAGACACGGUCCAAACUCCUACGGGAGGCAGCAUG
RNAcentral lists this ribosomal RNA (275 nucleotides) under uncultured bacterium. Its description in RNAcentral is "partial 16S ribosomal RNA". It matches the Rfam family "Bacterial small subunit ribosomal RNA", at positions 79 to 353 of the family's 1533-position model. The record is from RNAcentral.